Sturnus vulgaris (Common starling) is the source of this 359-nucleotide non-coding RNA. NCBI's taxonomy places the organism in Eukaryota, Metazoa, Chordata, Aves, Passeriformes, Sturnidae. The record is from RefSeq and is a predicted model, not a curated record.
AACAGAAUUUCAGCUUAUCAGUGUAUGAUAACAGAAAGGCAAGAGAUUUCAUAAUCAUGAGGUUUCCCAAGAAGACUGCAUAAAACCCUGGGAGGUGACGAUAUGAUGUAACGUGAACAUCAUUCUACUGAAGAAACUAAGCAACUUUUGUAUUUGUAUAUCCUUAUCAACGGUCCAUAACAUUUCACUUUCCUUAAUAUACAUUAAUGAUUUCCCAACUUGCUUCCAUGAAAACUGCAAAAGGUUUGCCUCUUUGAUUAUUUGUUAUUACUAGGGAAUAUGUUAUAUUUGUAGUCAGCUUUUUUUUUGCAUACAUGUUUCUAAGUUUCUUCAUAAAAUGGUCAGUCAGGUUUCAGAGA